AUAAAAUAAAUUUUACAAAAUUUUGUUGAUUCAUUAACUUCAGCAGGGUGCCAGAUUGAGCAUCUACAUGGAAACAGCCAUGGCUCUGACCUGCAUUGUAAACUGUCUGUAAUUUAACAGUGAGUGAAGCUUAGGGGGAGCAAUUGCUUCAAAUGUUUGCUGCCAUUAGCUUAAGGGAGAGGAAAUGAGAUGAAUCCAGAAGUUUUCAUUUCCAAGCGAAGCAUGUCAGACAGCACAGCACAAGACCUUUUUAAAUUGCAAUAUGGCAUCAUAUUAAACAGAGCUUGUCUGUGUUUCCUUUGGCUUUCCAUCAGUUUACAUUUUUUCUUAGAUGUAGUAGUAGCAAAUCUCAGAGCUUUUUCCCCAUUUUCCAUAAUGCAAAAUUAAUAUGUGACUAUCUGUGGGUCUAUAGCUCUCAGCUGACCCACUGCUGCUCAUCUCAGAAGUACCAGUGGUGAACUUAAAUGGAGACAUGGUGUGAAGGGACUUCUAUCAGAAUGUUUUACUGCUGUUAAUGAAAUAAGAGAAUAGUAAUUAAUGUGAAAUGAUGCCUGAAAUUGAGUGGCAAGCUCUAGCAGGUACUGAUGGCCUAGACAGUUAUACAGGCCAGCAGCAGAGCAUCUGGAUGGGCCUGGGUUCCAGCGGGGUGUUUGGGCUGUGCCUCUGCAGUAUCACCAACACGAGGGAGGUGGCUGGGGCUGGGCUGCCUGAGCAGGGAUAGGGAAUGCCAGGGCUGGGCUUGGGAGGGCAGGCUGGGGCAGCAGGGCCUUGAGGUCUGAUCCUGCCUGUCUGGGGGAUAAGGAGGGGCAAGAGGUACCUACUGAGCUGGUGGCUGGAUAGGAGGCUCGAGGAAAAGAAGGGAUCUUGCUGGAGACAGCAUUAACCAUCAGACAAGAAAUGGCCUGUGAUUUUAAUUGCUGAUUCCCAGGCAUAAGUGGUUUCUUACUCUGGGAAGUGAGGAUGUGAACAUUUAGAUUAAAAGAGCAGGGGGUUUGUGACACUGGGGAUGAGAGACUGAUAUGCUGCUGCAAGGGCAUCCAGGCAUGAGGCCAUGCAUCCCUGGAAGUGAGCUCCUCCUGUGCAGCCUGAGGCUGCCAGUGCUGCCAUCCCUCACCUUCCUGAGAGGUGACAGCUUUUGGGGCUGGCAGGGAAACUGCACUGGGAUGGGCUGUCAAAGCUGCCUGCAAGGAAGUCACCAGAAUGGUGACUGUCCCUUGGAGCUGGAUCCUGUGGGCAGUUAGCACAGAGAGUUGGCCUCUGGAAAUAUGAGAUUUUGAUGAUUCCUGCAACUUAAAAGACUUCCUAUUGAGAUGGUUGUGAUGAGCCUUUGUCUUGAAGGGCUUCACUGCUAGGGAGAGGAGGGAGGUGGGUGCUUUUGUUGGCCAAGGAUGGUAUGGUUAGAGAUGAUUCCACUUCUGACAUUCUUUUUGUCAAGCUUAGAUUCCGUCUGGCAGGGAGAGAAACAGGGGAGGUGUUUGUGAUGUGUCAAGUGCUAUUUGCAUGUCAAACAGUGGUGUUCUGGCUGGGGUGGUUCAAGGGUUCUUGGGAUCCUCCACCAGCUCACAGGGUACUGCAAGGGAAUGAGAACAAGUUUUCAGACGUACAAAGUGGGAUUCAUCUUGUUGAACUUCAGUGAGUCAUCUCAUCCUAAGGCCAGCAUGUAAAUUGGUUCAGAGGGAGGGGAGCUGCCUCCCACCAGCCUGUGGAAGUGACCUGUUGAGUGUCUUCAUCCUGCUGCUGUAGAUAUCUCAGAUAUGCCAACAAAAUACAUCACUCUAUUUUA
Non-coding RNA from Cyanistes caeruleus (blue tit), 1783 nucleotides. The record is from RefSeq and is a predicted model, not a curated record. Lineage: Eukaryota; Metazoa; Chordata; Aves; Passeriformes; Paridae.